Molecule: long non-coding RNA, 3042 nt
Organism: Pezoporus flaviventris
Lineage: Eukaryota; Metazoa; Chordata; Aves; Psittaciformes; Psittacidae
Exons: 2
Source: RefSeq, a predicted model, not a curated record
GCAGACAAGAAAGGCUGCCCAGGGACUGUUCUUUACCUCUCUGAGGAGGGCAUGUGUUCUCCCUGCGCUGUGGUGAAUGCAGCUCACCAUGGGUGUCUUUUGCACAUCAGAUGCAGAGAGGAAAGCAUCCCGCUCCUAUACUCACCUGUGGGUCUGAAACAUUCAUUGCAUACAUGCCUGUUGUGUGCCUGUUUUGCCCAUCUCCAUUUUUUGGGGGCAUAUUGGCAAGUGCCGUUAUAAAUCACUCUGCCCUUUCAUUUCAGAAGCACAAAUAUCUAUGUGAAAAAGUCACAGAAGUUUUCCUGGGAAGUGAGAAAAUAUGUUUAUUUGAGAAGCAAGAAUGCUGAAGAGUCAGCUCCAUCCUAACCCACAGCAUGAAAGGAAAAUCUGCUUUGGAAACAGCAAAGUGAACAAGUCUUCUCUUGUUACACUUGUGUCCUGGCUGCUGCAGAGUGAAUGUGACACCCUUCCAAAAAUUUGCAUCCCAAAUGGUGCCUGGGAACCUCAAGCGAAGCUAUCGAAUACUUCAUUUUGGAAAAGAAAUCUCUUCACCAGCUCUGGAGGAAGUAUGUAACAUGAGGUUCCACUGCAGUCAAACAUCAGUCCUGGCCGAUGGGAGGCUGAAUGCAUGGCUCAACUGGUGUCACUGAUCUGCUGAGGCUGUUGGUGCCCACUGGUGGGAUAACGCAGUUUUUAAGGCUUUGAAACUUGGUUUUGAACGCUGGUUCCUUGACAGAGAAAAGUGGUCUGGCAGAAGUGAGGUAGGCAGCAAGGUGAUAAGGUCCUUCAGUGGCAGCUACCACACAAGCCCUCAGGGGUGGUCACAGGCCAUCAUCAGGGUCCUGUUUAUUUUGACUGGGUUUGCAGGCCACUGCUCAUUAAACCUUGAUUUUGGUAUUUGUGAUAAAUGAGCCAUGUUCAUCCUUUUGGAAACCUAGGCAAAUUCCCAGAGCUGCAGCAGAGAUUAAUUUUGACCCAGCAAGUUACAGGGGGAAGCUGAAAAGAGUACUUGUCCCUUAAAAGACAAAAAUACCUUUUGGGGAGCCUUUCUGUUUUGUAAGCAAGGAGAUGAUGGGGGUCAGAGAGCUCCUGGUGCCUGUGGACGAUUUUGGCUUUCAGCUUGAUGUUGGUUGUUGAAAAUGUUUCCCCAGAUGUAUUAAUACAACCAGACUGGAUUGCAUCUGAGCUGAACAUUGUGAGCCUAAGGCAGGACAUAAAUAUAGAAGCAAACCAGCCUGACAUAAGAGUCAUCUGUCCUCUUCUGCACAAGAAGCGAAAGGGAAAGAGAGACAACUUAUUCUGUUGCAAUUUUUAGAUGCUUCCAGGCAUUAGCUUGGGCUUCUGAGAGUGCCUGCCCCAGGGCCCUGGGGCACAGAAGACCCCAUGUAUCCCUCGCUCAGCCCCCAGCAUGCUGUGCCACAGGACUAAGCACUCAGCACAUUUUUAACCCGGGGUUAGAUUUGCUUAGACAAGGUCUGCAAUUGGGAAUGACUAUUUGAUGUGUUUGCCUAACAGGAUUACCCUUAUCAUAAUGAUAUUGCAACCUGGCCUUGGCAGGGCAAACCCCAAGGGCUCAAGGGAUCAAACCCUCACCUCCCUUGCCCCAGAUAGGCACAGCAGAGCUUGCCUCUUAGCAUGCAGUAUCCAGCCAGUGUUUCAGUUGGCAUUUAAUACUCUGCUUUUGGAAAUGGCUCUUUUGCUGUGAACCACGGACUGCAGACACCAUGUUUGGAAUUCAUCUCUUCACAUCUGAAAAAAAAAUUAAAAUCAAUAAUAUUUGAAGGCUGGAAAAACAAUGCCGUGUUUUACAAUUAGAGAACUGUACACCUUCCCUGUUGGGAAUUGCCCUGAGCAGGUGCCUGAUUGAAUUCAGUGUGAAUUUUUUGUCCUCUGGCUCCCUAAGAAUAGGUAAUGAACCAACAAGUUGCCUGCUUUUUUGUAUUGUGUAUUGUGAACAUGCCUAAAAUCGUUAUAGAAGCAUCUGUUUGUCUCUAAAAGUGUAUCUGUGGUUAUUAAAGUCUGCUGACUUAAAAGACUCGAGGAAGGCGUAGGAUGAAAGCUCUGUUUUCCUUCAGGUAAAUAGGAUAACAGCUUUGCUAAAGCAGAGCCUGACUCCACUGAUGGUUGGCACCCAGACAUGUCCACCCCAGUUUCUGGCAGAGUGAGGGGCACCCCGUUGUUCCCCGGCAGUGUCACUUUAACCCUAGCACUUCUCGGACCAGCUAAGAUGAGCCUGGCCUUACCACCUCUCAGGGCUAUUUGUGGAAGCAGAACCUGCUGCUUGCUAUUUGGGGGUUCCAAAACAACCAGAAUCCUCUAUUUAUAAUCUGCUAUAACUGGCUUGAAUGAAACCUGUGCUUCUCUGGGCUUUAGGGCCACAAGACUGCUGGUGCAGCAGCACCCUCAUUCCAGGGAAUGCUGCUGGGGAUGCUGAGAUGGUUCUGCAUAAAAUCAAGGGAUGUGUAGGUACAUAGUGUGAGCCAUACGUUCACAGCCUCCUGGGUUUUGGAGCAGACUGUACUUGUCAAGGCUAUGUUGAACCCCUUCUCUAGACAAGGUUUGGAAGGAUGGAGCAAGGCAGAGAGACAUCUUCCCACUGCAGCAGCAUCACUGUGGAGAUGCUCGGGUUGCUGAAGGGAGUGUUACUCUAACCAUCCUUUUUUUUUCCCCCCAAGGCUUUUAUAGCUGGGAUGUGAGCAGGGCCCUGUGACUUGGAAACAACCUAUUCAGUGAUUUCAGUUCACCUGUGAUUAGUGUAUAUUUAAUCUUGGUGGUGAAUGUGGCUGUUCACAUCUUGCUGUUCAGAGUGGAACUGCUCUGACCUCGUAGCUCAUUGCAGGACAAACUCCUCCUCUCCAAGACAAAGCAAAUCAGCCACCUCUUUUUUUGGAAGCAGGUACAUAUAGUAUAAUGCUUACCCAGGGGUUGUAGUUGAUCUGGUUUUGCUGUGAUAAAUCCCUCUGCCAUUUCAGCCAUAAAACAUGAUAAAUAUGAGGCCAAGCAGAAAGAUUAAAAAAAUAAAUAAAUAUUGACUAAUGCUUU